ACGAGCGAGAGAGAGCUUGCUUUCUCGAGCGAGUGGCGAACGGGUGAGUAACGCGUGAGGAACCUGCCUCAAAGAGGGGGACAACAGUUGGAAACGACUGCUAAUACCGCAUAAGCCCACGGGUCGGCAUCGACCAGAGGGAAAAGGAGUGAUCCGCUUUGAGAUGGCCUCGCGUCCGAUUAGCUAGUUGGUGAGGUAACGGCCCACCAAGGCGACGAUCGGUAGCCGGACUGAGAGGUUGAACGGCCACAUUGGGACUGAGACACGGCCCAGACUCCUACGGGAGGCAGCAGUGGGGAAUAUUGCACAAUGGGGGAAACCCUGAUGCAGCGACGCCGCGUGGAGGAAGAAGGUCUUCGGAUUGUAAACUCCUGUUGUUGGGGAAGAUAAUGACGGUACCCAACAAGGAAGUGACGGCUAACUACGUGCCAGCAGCCGCGGUAAAACGUAGGUCACAAGCGUUGUCCGGAAUUACUGGGUGUAAAGGGAGCGCAGGCGGGAAGACAAGUUGGAAGUGAAAUCCAUGGGCUUAACCCAUGAACUGCUUUCAAAACUGUUUUUCUUGAGUAGUGCAGAGGUAGGCGGAAUUCCCGGUGUAGCGGUGGAAUGCGUAGAUAUCGGGAGGAACACCAGUGGCGAAGGCGGCCUACUGGGCACCAACUGACGCUGA
This 670-nucleotide ribosomal RNA is filed under the name uncultured bacterium. RNAcentral describes it as "bacterial SSU rRNA". It matches the Rfam family "Bacterial small subunit ribosomal RNA", at positions 66 to 749 of the family's 1533-position model. The record is from RNAcentral.